This 448-nucleotide ribosomal RNA is filed under the name uncultured bacterium. RNAcentral's name for it is "SSU rRNA". It matches the Rfam family "Bacterial small subunit ribosomal RNA", at positions 26 to 518 of the family's 1533-position model. The record is from RNAcentral.
AGAGCGAACGCUGGCGGCAGGCUUAACACAUGCAAGUCGAGCGGGCGUAGCAAUACGUCAGCGGCAGACGGGUGAGUAACGCGUGGGAACGUACCUUUUAGUUCGGAACAACCCAGGGAAACUUGGGCUAAUACCGGAUAAGCCCUUACGGGGAAAGAUUUAUCGCCGAAAGAUCGGCCCGCGUCUGAUUAGCUAGUUGGUGGGGUAAUGGCCCACCAAGGCGACGAUCAGUAGCUGGUCUGAGAGGAUGAUCAGCCACAUUGGGACUGAGACACGGCCCAAACUCCUACGGGAGGCAGCAGUGGGGAAUAUUGGACAAUGGGCGCAAGCCUGAUCCAGCCAUGCCGCGUGAGUGAUGAAGGCCCUAGGGUUGUAAAGCUCUUUUGUGCGGGAAGAUAAUGACGGUACCGCAAGAAUAAGCCCCGGCUAACUUCGCGCCAGCAGCCGC